UGAUUCCUUGAUUUGUUUGUUCUAGGUCCACGAUUCUGCUCACCCAAAGCAUCUGGACCUCCAUUUACAUCAUUGAGAGUUCUACCAACAUGAAUCUUAGAUCGAAGCUUAUCCACUGCAGCCCUUCCAGGAGCACUUGAUCCAAAAUCAGAAAAGCUGGUUCUAUUCAACCUGACAGCAACUUUUAAUUGGUUAGAAUGAGGUAGGACCUUCCCAUUGGAAAAGAUAUCAACAGGUUGAAUAGAACCAGAAGCAACUCUACCCUGAUGCAUGCGUGAAGAAGCCGGAAUAGGAAAACAACCAGAAGAAACACUUCCUUGUGUCAGAGACUGCUUGCUAGGUCCAACAAUAACUCUUGGCUCUUCUGAAAUCUUGGACAUGGUAUUAGUCUGAUUUGAAGUGGGUUUUGAUUGGAAUUUGGGAAAGGCUGCAGAUGAUGAAGCAAUACCAUGUUUUGAACUUCUUCCAUCAGGUCCAUUGGUAAAUGCUACACCUGCUGCAUCUAGCAAGGGGUCUGUUGAAUUGUUUGGAAUGAAAUCCGGUUGAACAACAACAGGAACAUAACCAGGUGAAGAUACAGGGUCCUGAUAAGAAGGCAUGGCAUAAUACUGUUGUGGUCCCACAUAAGGGCCAUCAACGCCUAUCAUAGCACCAGGUAUGUAAGGAUUGUACGGGUUAUAAGGAGACUGUGCAUAUCCAUAGCUAGGGGUAUAAUAUACAUAAGGUAAAGUUUCAGUUUGUGCACCCGCAUACUGGAUUUCCAGACCAUCUGACACCAAAAAUCCUAUGGUGGUCCUCCCAUUCACCGGGUGAUUCAAAUCCUGUACAGUAGUAUCCAUAAUUGGUGGCAGUAGGAUAAUACAAGCCCUGAUCCAUAAAAAAUUCGGGGGCUCCUUCGUUGUACAUAGUUUCAACUUGUUCAAGAAGUGGACUUGUCAAACAGGGUUUAUCUCAGCACUUUGAAUCAUAGAAAAGCGGAAUCAAGCCAGGCUUGACCUAGAAAGUUCUUCGAAGGAAAUAUUAAUAAAUUUGAAAAGAAAAUAAGAAAUUACCCGCAACAUUUGUUUUUAGAAAUUUCAAA
RNAcentral lists this unclassified non-coding RNA (1081 nucleotides) under Hevea brasiliensis (rubber tree). The record is from RNAcentral. Lineage: Eukaryota; Viridiplantae; Streptophyta; Magnoliopsida; Malpighiales; Euphorbiaceae.